GGCUCAGUCAAAUGCUUGUGAGUACUCUCUCAUCUCAUCUGACCUGACCUGUGUUUGAUAGUUGGCAAAUCACGCAAAUAGAAUUGAAAUUGACUGCAGACCAAUUGCAAGGCAGAUCUUCAAGAUUUCAAUUGAUUGGGUUUUUACGCCGGGCAAAGCCCAGUCAGAGAAAGAGAGAUAGAGCUUGAGCAGCGACUUGAGAUUCUGCUAUAAAAGCAACGACUUUUGCCAGUCAGUUAUAUAUUCGUAGAGACAACGAUACAGUCUAGACAACAAUAAUGCAAUUCUUACGCAUCUGUGGAUUUGUCGUGGCUCUGAUUGUGGCUAUGGCUAGUGCGGCUCCAGAACCCAAGGGCACGGUGCUGAUUCAAACUCCCAACAGCCAGACCAUCUAUACGGGUUAAUAAUGCAAGAGACGAGCUGAAGCUGAAAAGUUUGAAAAAAAAUUGGAAAUUUUCGACUAAAAUUUGUACAUAGUAAUUUGCAUGCAGGAUUAAACUCGCAAUUCAAUAAUAAU
Long non-coding RNA from Drosophila albomicans, 517 nucleotides. RefSeq lists it as uncharacterized. NCBI's taxonomy places the organism in Eukaryota, Metazoa, Arthropoda, Insecta, Diptera, Drosophilidae. The record is from RefSeq and is a predicted model, not a curated record. The transcript has 2 exons.